UCCUGAAUUCAACUACUCAAACAAGAUUCUCUAAGUUUCAGCCGUGCUCUCUCAGAGAGAGCUUCCUCUUUCAACUCCUCAAAACGAGAUUCUCUCUUGGUUUCAGCCAUGCUCUCAGAUGGAUAUAGUAGUUGCAGUUUCUGAGUUACGCUCUCAUGAAGCAAAUGGUAUUAGUCUCAUCACCUCUAUGCAUCUGUUGAUGCCUCUCCCAUAGACCUCUUGGCUCUUCUGUUACAAAUAAAUACCAAUUCUUUCGUAGUACUGAAUUGGUUUAUUCGACCUAGAGAGGCUCAAAAAGCAGCAGAUGAAGCUGAAGCAAGAGUCACCUCGCUUUUAAUAGUGGCUCAUCAAAUUGCUUGGAUCACAAGCCUGAGUGAGUAAUUAACAACGAAUAUGUUUUUGACUAACGAGAAUUUCAUCAGAACUGUGACGAAUAUUCGGGGUGAAUGGUUAGUUAGCUGCCCUCUCUCGUUUGUGGUUUCAAAUUACAGAACAAAUCACCAAAUCGCCUCAGGAUGCUCAAGACAUCACAGCCUUUGCAGAGUCGCUGUGAAUUCCGAUGAUGAUGAUCCAUCAAAGUAGAGAGACAUAUUGAAAUCAAAGCAACGGGAGACGAUGAUGAUCCGUAACCAACCGUAAGGUCUGAUUCAAUACCGAUUUCACCGGAAUAUUGAAUCUUAUCUACCUACCGGAGACUUACGAGACGAAAAAUUCAAAAGUAAAGAGAAGAAUCGAGCGAGAGGUCUUCGUAAUAAUAAUCCUCUGUUUUCUUGAAUUUGAAGUGGUUUGGUUGGAUGGAUGUACUAUUAAAGGACAACCUCGUAGAGUUGCAGCCUAAGGAAGGACAUGGCUCACUUGGAACGCAUUGGCAAUUACUUGACAGUCAAAGAAAACUAAGUGAUUCAUUUGCAUCCAUCAGGAUCACAAUGAAUAUUUUUUGACUAGCGAGAAUUUCAUCAGAACUGUGACAGAUAUUCGCCGUGAAUGAUUCUCCAGUUUAGUCUGAAUGGGUUAGCCUAACGGGACUCCGAACUUACGGCUAAGCUUGAAGAUUGCACUGAACAACUCGAAGCAAAAGAUCUUCUGUUGCAAAAAGGUUGAGGGAAGAAUUGCAGAAAAUAGUGAGAUAGUUUCAGAACUGCUCACUUUGAGAGAACAUGUGAAGUCAGCUGAACAAAAGCUGAUUAAAGAGCUUACUGCUGCAAAUCUUGAACUUACUGAGGAACUAAAAUUUUCUCAAAGAAGGUGAACUCUCUCGUCAAGGAGUUAGAAGUUCAAUUACAAAAUUCUAAAGGUAUAUCAUCAGAAGCAAAUCAAGAACAGCACAACAUGUUGUGGUCAGCAAUAUGGGACAUGGAAACCGUAAUAGAAGAUCUCAAGUCUAAAGCCGAGAGAGUAGAAGUAAUGUUGCUAACGAUGAAUAAGAGAGAUAUGCACAAGGUUUCCUUCAGGGACUCAAAAGCAAAGCAAUGUUGAAGUGUCUUCAGCAAUAUGGAUUCAUGCUAGCUUCUAAUGAAACGUGUCCUCGAGAAGCUUUAUAAGAAGAGAGAAAAGGAGAAGGAAGAGAGCAAAACCGGAAGUGAAAAACAAUCAUAGAUCCUCAUAUGUCAACGUUCAGUUCUCCAAAUCUAAGCAGGACAAAAGAAGCAAUCCAUAAGAGGAUUAUAUAGUGAAUCAAUCCAAAUUAAAUUUGUGUCCGUUAAAGAUGUUGUGUAACAAAGCGGUUGUUCAAGACAUCACAGCCUUGUCAGGUACCUUUUUACCUUCUUUUUGUAAAUUAAUGAUUUUGUUUUUUUACCGUAAUGAUUUUG
This is a long non-coding RNA of Capsella rubella, 1811 nucleotides long. RefSeq lists it as uncharacterized. The transcript has 10 exons. NCBI's taxonomy places the organism in Eukaryota, Viridiplantae, Streptophyta, Magnoliopsida, Brassicales, Brassicaceae. The record is from RefSeq and is a predicted model, not a curated record.